This is a transfer RNA of 82 nucleotides. It matches the Rfam family "tRNA". Rfam says of the family: Transfer RNA (tRNA) molecules are approximately 80 nucleotides in length. Their secondary structure includes four short double-helical elements and three loops (D, anti-codon, and T loops). Further hydrogen bonds mediate the characteristic L-shaped molecular structure. tRNAs have two regions of fundamental functional importance: the anti-codon, which is responsible for specific mRNA codon recognition, and the 3' end, to which the tRNAs corresponding amino acid is attached (by aminoacyl-tRNA synthetases). tRNAs cope with the degeneracy of the genetic code in two manners: having more than one tRNA (with a specific anti-codon) for a particular amino acid; and 'wobble' base-pairing, i.e. permitting non-standard base-pairing at the 3rd anti-codon position. The record is from Rfam.
GCCCGGUUAUUUCAAUGGUAGAAUGUCAGGCUUUUACACCAUUGUCACCUGAAAGUUAUGGGUUCGACCCCCAUAUCGGGCG